GUAGGUAGCAGAACGUGCUGAUAAUAAUAUAUUAAGUAUCAGUAUUGAGUAUGUACACAUGAGUAACAAAGAU
RNAcentral lists this ribosomal RNA (73 nucleotides) under Chlorosarcinopsis eremi. RNAcentral describes it as "large subunit ribosomal RNA". The record is from RNAcentral. Lineage: Eukaryota; Viridiplantae; Chlorophyta; Chlorophyceae; Chlorosarcinales; Chlorosarcinaceae.